This is a non-coding RNA of Potamilus streckersoni, 72 nucleotides long. The record is from the annotation of a GenBank genome assembly. Lineage: Eukaryota; Metazoa; Mollusca; Bivalvia; Unionida; Unionidae.
GCUCAGGUGGCCUAGUAGUUAGGGCGUCUGCCUUGAAUGUUGGAGGUCGGGGGUUCAAUCCCCGUCUGAGUU